RNAcentral lists this ribosomal RNA (253 nucleotides) under uncultured bacterium. RNAcentral's name for it is "partial 16S ribosomal RNA". It matches the Rfam family "Bacterial small subunit ribosomal RNA", at positions 524 to 776 of the family's 1533-position model. The record is from RNAcentral.
UACGUAGGGGGCGAGCGUUGUCCGGAAUUACUGGGCGUAAGGAGCUCGUAGGUGGUUUGUCGCGUUGUUCGUGAAAACUCACAACUCAAUUGUGGGCGUGCGGGCGAUACGGGCAGACUGGAGUACUGCAGGGGAGACUGGAAUUCCUGGUGUAGCGGUGGAAUGCGCAGAUAUCAGGAGGAACACCAGCGGCGAAGGCGGCGCUCUGGGCCGGAGCUGACGCUGAGGAGCGAAAGCGUGGGGAGCAAACAGG